RNAcentral lists this ribosomal RNA (497 nucleotides) under uncultured bacterium. RNAcentral's name for it is "partial 16S ribosomal RNA". It matches the Rfam family "Bacterial small subunit ribosomal RNA", at positions 28 to 507 of the family's 1533-position model. The record is from RNAcentral.
GAUGAACGCUGGCGGCGUGCCUAAUACAUGCAAGUCGAGCGAACGGACGAUAAGCUUGCUUCUCUGAUGUUAGCGGCGGACGGGUGAGUAACACGUGGAUAACCUACCUAUAAGACUGGUAUAACUUCGGGAAACCGUAGCUAAUACCGUAUAAUAUUUUGAACCGCAUGGUUCAAAAGUGAAAGACGGUCUUGCUGUCACUUAUAGAUGGAUCCGCGCUGCAUUAUCUAGUUGUUAAGGUAACGGCUUACCAAGGCAACGAUGCAUAGCCGAACUGAUAGGCUGAUCGGCCACACUGGAACUGAGCCAGGGUCAAGACUACUACGGGAGGCAGCAGUAGGGAAUGUUCCGCAAUGGGCGAAAGCCUGACGGAGCAACGCCGCGUGAGUGAUGAAGGUCUUCGGAGCGGAAAAAUCUGUUACUAGGGAAGAACCUAUGUGUAAGUAACUGUGCAGAGCUUGACGGUAAUUAAUCAGAAAGCCACGGCUAACUACGUG